This is a non-coding RNA of Phrynosoma platyrhinos (Desert horned lizard), 71 nucleotides long. The record is from the annotation of a GenBank genome assembly. NCBI's taxonomy places the organism in Eukaryota, Metazoa, Chordata, Lepidosauria, Squamata, Phrynosomatidae.
GCCAGGGUGGUGUAGUGGUUUGAGUGUUGGACUAGGACUCUGAAGACCAGAUUCGAAUCACCGCUCGGCCA